Molecule: ribosomal RNA, 259 nt
Filed under: Escherichia coli
Lineage: Bacteria; Pseudomonadati; Pseudomonadota; Gammaproteobacteria; Enterobacterales; Enterobacteriaceae
Description: partial 23S ribosomal RNA
Rfam family: Bacterial large subunit ribosomal RNA
Source: RNAcentral
GUGUACCCGCGGCAAGACGGAAAGACCCCGUGAACCUUUACUAUAGCUUGACACUGAACAUUGAGCCUUGAUGUGUAGGAUAGGUGGGAGGCUUUGAAGUGUGGACGCCAGUCUGCAUGGAGCCGACCUUGAAAUACCACCCUUUAAUGUUUGAUGUUCUAACGUUGGCCCGUAAUCCGGGUUGCGGACAGUGUCUGGUGGGUAGUUUGACUGGGGCGGUCUCCUCCUAAAGAGUAACGGAGGAGCACGAAGGUUGGCU